AGAGUGCGUAAUAGCUCACUAGUCGAGAGGUCCUGCGCCGAAAAUGUCCGGGGCUAAAACACAACACCGAAGCUUAGGAAUGUAGAAAUACAUUGGUAGAGGAGCAUUCUUAAAGGAAUGAAGCAGUACCGGUAAGGAGCUGUGGACUUUUAAGAAGAGAGAAUGCCGGAAUGAGUAGCGAGAUGGAGGUGGGAAUCCUCCAGGCCGAAUAUCCAAGGUUUCCAGAGUAAAGCUGAUCUGCUCUGGGUAAGUCGGGGCCUAAGGUAAGGCUGAGAAGCGUAGCCGAUGGACAACAGGUUGAGAUUCCUGUACCGCGUAUCAUCAGAACUGUGGGGACACAGAAGGACAGCACAACCCGGGAAUGGAAAGACCGGGGCAAGCAGGGUAGGAGUUAAGCUGGCAAAUCCGCUUAACAAUCCGAAGCUGUGAUGCGGAGCGAAUUUAAGUAGCGAAGUGUGCGAUUCCGGCUGUCAAGAAAAGCCGCUAUUGUGUGAUACGUGCCCGUACCGUAAACCGACACAGGUAGAUGAGGAGAGAAUCCUAAGGCCGGCGGGAGAAGCAUUGUUAAGGAACUCGGCAAAAUGACCCUGUAACUUCGGGAGAAAGGGUGCCUGGGAAACCAGGCCGCAGAGAAUAGGCUCAAGCAACUGUUUAGCAAAAACACAGGUCUAUGCAAAACCGUAAGGUGAGGUAUAUGGGCUGACGCCUGCCCGGUGCUGGAAGGUUAAGAGGAGGGGUUAGCGCAAGCGAAGCUCUGAAUUGAAGCCCCAGUAAACGGCGGCCGUAACUAUAACGGUCCUAAGGUAGCGAAAUUCCUUGUCGGGUAAGUUCCGACCCGCACGAAAGGCGUAAUGAUUUGAGCGCUGUCUCGACAAUGCACCCGGUGAAAUUGAAAUACCAGUGAAGAUGCUGGUUACCUGCGCCAGGACGGAAAGACCCCAUGGAGCUUUACUCCAGCUUGAUACUGGGAUUCGGUACUGCAUGUACAGGAUAGGUGGGAGACUGAGAACUAUGAACGCCAGUUUGUAGGGAGUCGCUGUUGGGAUACCACCCUUGCGGUAUUGGAUUUCUAACCUGCAGCCGUGAACCGGCUGGGGGACAAUGUCAGGCGGGGAGUUUGACUGGGGCGGUCGCCUCCGAAAGGGUAUCGGAGGCGCUCAAAGGUUCCCUCAGAAUGGUUGGAAACCAUUCGAAGAGUGCAAAGGCAGAAGGGAGCUUGACUGCGACACCGACGGGUGGAGCAGGUAGGAAACUAGGACUUAGUGAUCCGGUGGUAUGAAAGUGGGAUUGCCAUCGCUCAACGGAUAAAAGCUACCCUGGGGAUAACAGGCUU
This 1333-nucleotide ribosomal RNA is filed under the name human gut metagenome. Its description in RNAcentral is "bacterial LSU rRNA". It matches the Rfam family "Bacterial large subunit ribosomal RNA", at positions 1127 to 2484 of the family's 2925-position model. The record is from RNAcentral.